GAUGAAGAACGUAGCGAAAUGCGAUACUUGGUGUGAAUUGCAGAAUCCCGUGAACCAUCGAGUCUUUGAACGCAAGUUGCGCCCGAAGCCAUUAGGCCGAGGGCACGCCUGCCUGGGCGUCACACGUCGUUGCCCCCCCAUCUACUCCUUCGGGAUUGCGGGGGGCGGAUGAUGGCCUCCCGUGUGCCUCGCCGCGCGGUUGGCAUAAAUGCCAAGUCCUCGGCGACGCACGCCACGACAAUCGGUGGUUGCGAAACCUCGGUUGCCCGUCGUGUGCGGUCGUCGCGCAUCGAGGGCUCGAAAAAAUUGCCGGGUUCCGGCUCGGCUUUCAACGCGACCCCAGGUCAGGCGGGGUUACCCGCUGAAUUUAAGCAUAUCAAUAAGCGGAGGA
Molecule: unclassified non-coding RNA, 391 nt
Filed under: soil metagenome
Description: partial contains 5.8S ribosomal RNA, internal transcribed spacer 2, and large subunit ribosomal RNA
Rfam family: 5.8S ribosomal RNA (bases 1-122)
Source: RNAcentral